AGCUCGACUGGACUGAUAAUCCGGGAUUUUCGCCCUCGAUCAUGAGGGUCUGUAUUCGCACACGGCUCAUAAUCGUGGUGUCGCGGGUUCGAGUCCCGCCCUCG
RNAcentral lists this transfer RNA (104 nucleotides) under Schumannella luteola. Its description in RNAcentral is "tRNA-Met". Lineage: Bacteria; Bacillati; Actinomycetota; Actinomycetes; Micrococcales; Microbacteriaceae. The record is from RNAcentral.